RNAcentral lists this ribosomal RNA (2923 nucleotides) under Klebsiella pneumoniae subsp. pneumoniae. RNAcentral's name for it is "bacterial LSU rRNA". It matches the Rfam family "Bacterial large subunit ribosomal RNA". The record is from RNAcentral. Lineage: Bacteria; Pseudomonadati; Pseudomonadota; Gammaproteobacteria; Enterobacterales; Enterobacteriaceae.
GGGUUGUGAGGUUAAGCGACUAAGCGUACACGGUGGAUGCCCUGGCAGUCAGAGGCGAUGAAGGACGUGCUAAUCUGCGAAAAGCGUCGGUAAGGUGAUAUGAACCGUUAUAACCGGCGAUGUCCGAAUGGGGAAACCCAGUGCAAUUCGUUGCACUAUCGUUAACUGAAUACAUAGGUUAACGAGGCGAACCGGGGGAACUGAAACAUCUAAGUACCCCGAGGAAAAGAAAUCAACCGAGAUUCCCCCAGUAGCGGCGAGCGAACGGGGAGCAGCCCAGAGUCUGAAUCAGCUUGUGUGUUAGUGGAACGGUCUGGAAAGUCCGACGGUACAGGGUGAUAGUCCCGUACACCAAAAUGCACAGGUUGUGAACUCGAAGAGUAGGGCGGGACACGUGGUAUCCUGUCUGAAUAUGGGGGGACCAUCCUCCAAGGCUAAAUACUCCUGACUGACCGAUAGUGAACCAGUACCGUGAGGGAAAGGCGAAAAGAACCCCGGCGAGGGGAGUGAAAAAGAACCUGAAACCGUGUACGUACAAGCAGUGGGAGCACCUUCGGGUGUGACUGCGUACCUUUUGUAUAAUGGGUCAGCGACUUAUAUUCUGUAGCAAGGUUAACCGUAUAGGGGAGCCGCAGGGAAACCGAGUCUUAACUGGGCGUUAAGUUGCAGGGUAUAGACCCGAAACCCGGUGAUCUAGCCAUGGGCAGGUUGAAGGUUGGGUAACACUAACUGGAGGACCGAACCGACUAAUGUUGAAAAAUUAGCGGAUGACUUGUGGCUGGGGGUGAAAGGCCAAUCAAACCGGGAGAUAGCUGGUUCUCCCCGAAAGCUAUUUAGGUAGCGCCUCGUGAACUCAUCUUCGGGGGUAGAGCACUGUUUCGGCUAGGGGGUCAUCCCGACUUACCAACCCGAUGCAAACUACGAAUACCGAAGAAUGUUAUCACGGGAGACACACGGCGGGUGCUAACGUCCGUCGUGAAGAGGGAAACAACCCAGACCGCCAGCUAAGGUCCCAAAGUCAUGGUUAAGUGGGAAACGAUGUGGGAAGGCACAGACAGCCAGGAUGUUGGCUUAGAAGCAGCCAUCAUUUAAAGAAAGCGUAAUAGCUCACUGGUCGAGUCGGCCUGCGCGGAAGAUGUAACGGGGCUAAACCAUGCACCGAAGCUGCGGCAGCGACACUAUGUGUUGUUGGGUAGGGGAGCGUUCUGUAAGCCUGCGAAGGUGACCUGUGAGGGUUGCUGGAGGUAUCAGAAGUGCGAAUGCUGACAUAAGUAACGAUAAAGCGGGUGAAAAGCCCGCUCGCCGGAAGACCAAGGGUUCCUGUCCAACGUUAAUCGGGGCAGGGUGAGUCGACCCCUAAGGCGAGGCCGAAAGGCGUAGUCGAUGGGAAACAGGUUAAUAUUCCUGUACUUGGUGUUACUGCGAAGGGGGGACGGAGAAGGCUAUGUUAGCCGGGCGACGGUUGUCCCGGUUUAAGCAUGUAGGCUGGUUGUCCAGGCAAAUCCGGAUAAUCAAGGCUGAGGUGUGAUGACGAGGCACUACGGUGCUGAAGUAACAAAUGCCCUGCUUCCAGGAAAAGCCUCUAAGCAUCAGGUAACAUUGAAUCGUACCCCAAACCGACACAGGUGGUCAGGUAGAGAAUACCAAGGCGCUUGAGAGAACUCGGGUGAAGGAACUAGGCAAAAUGGUGCCGUAACUUCGGGAGAAGGCACGCUGGUGUGUAGGUGAAGCCCCUGCGGGUGGAGCUGAGACCAGUCGAAGAUACCAGCUGGCUGCAACUGUUUAUUAAAAACACAGCACUGUGCAAACACGAAAGUGGACGUAUACGGUGUGACGCCUGCCCGGUGCCGGAAGGUUAAUUGAUGGGGUUAUCCGUAAGGAGAAGCUCUUGAUCGAAGCCCCGGUAAACGGCGGCCGUAACUAUAACGGUCCUAAGGUAGCGAAAUUCCUUGUCGGGUAAGUUCCGACCUGCACGAAUGGCGUAAUGAUGGCCAGGCUGUCUCCACCCGAGACUCAGUGAAAUUGAACUCGCUGUGAAGAUGCAGUGUACCCGCGGCAAGACGGAAAGACCCCGUGAACCUUUACUAUAGCUUGACACUGAACAUUGAGCCUUGAUGUGUAGGAUAGGUGGGAGGCUUUGAAGCGUGGACGCCAGUCUGCGUGGAGCCAACCUUGAAAUACCACCCUUUAAUGUUUGAUGUUCUAACGUUGGCCCCUGACCGGGGUUGCGGACAGUGUCUGGUGGGUAGUUUGACUGGGGCGGUCUCCUCCCAAAGCGUAACGGAGGAGCACGAAGGUUAGCUAAUCCUGGUCGGACAUCAGGAGGUUAGUGCAAUGGCAUAAGCUAGCUUGACUGCGAGCGUGACGGCGCGAGCAGGUGCGAAAGCAGGUCAUAGUGAUCCGGUGGUUCUGAAUGGAAGGGCCAUCGCUCAACGGAUAAAAGGUACUCCGGGGAUAACAGGCUGAUACCGCCCAAGAGUUCAUAUCGACGGCGGUGUUUGGCACCUCGAUGUCGGCUCAUCACAUCCUGGGGCUGAAGUAGGUCCCAAGGGUAUGGCUGUUCGCCAUUUAAAGUGGUACGCGAGCUGGGUUUAGAACGUCGUGAGACAGUUCGGUCCCUAUCUGCCGUGGGCGCUGGAGAAUUGAGGGGGGCUGCUCCUAGUACGAGAGGACCGGAGUGGACGCAUCACUGGUGUUCGGGUUGUCAUGCCAAUGGCACUGCCCGGUAGCUAAAUGCGGAAGAGAUAAGUGCUGAAAGCAUCUAAGCACGAAACUUGCCCCGAGAUGAGUUCUCCCUGAGACUUUAAGUCUCCUGAAGGAACGUUAAAGACGAUGACGUUGAUAGGCCGGGUGUGUAAGCGCAGCGAUGCGUUGAGCUAACCGGUACUAAUGAACCGUGAGGCUUAACCUUACAACGCCGAAG